GACGAACGCUGGCGGCGUGCUUAACACAUGCAAGUCGAACGGAAAGGCCCUGCAUUUGUGGGGUGCUCGAGUGGCGAACGGGUGAGUAACACGUGAGUAACCUGCCCUUGACUUUGGGAUAACUUCAGGAAACUGGGGCUAAUACAGGAUAGGAGCUCCUGCUGCAGGGUGGGGGGGGGAAAGUUUCGGCGGUUGGGGAUGGACUCGCGGCUUAUCAGCUUGUUGGUGGGGUAGUGGCUUACCAAGGCUUUGACGGGUAGCCGGCCUGAGAGGGUGACCGGCCACAUUGGGCCUGAGAUACGGCCCAGACUCCUUCGGGAGGCAGCAGUGGGGAAUAUUGCACAAUGGGCGGCAGCCUGAUGCAGCAACGCCGCGUGCUGGAUGACGGCCUUCUGGUUGUAAACCGCUUUCGCCUGUGACGAAGCGUGAGUGACGGUACUGGGUAAAGAAGCACCGGCUAACUACGUG
RNAcentral lists this ribosomal RNA (468 nucleotides) under uncultured bacterium. RNAcentral's name for it is "partial 16S ribosomal RNA". It matches the Rfam family "Bacterial small subunit ribosomal RNA", at positions 28 to 507 of the family's 1533-position model. The record is from RNAcentral.